Molecule: ribosomal RNA, 369 nt
Filed under: Triticum aestivum (bread wheat)
Lineage: Eukaryota; Viridiplantae; Streptophyta; Magnoliopsida; Poales; Poaceae
Description: partial small subunit ribosomal RNA
Source: RNAcentral
AUGAACAGCUCCUCAAUAUUCUGGCAGAUUUCAGUGGCAAGAUUUUUGUACAAUUACAGUAGCAGAUUUCGGAAAUUUGUAGAGCACAUGAUUUACAAGAACAAGAUAUUCUGUCAAGGUGUGUACUUUUUACCCAUUGCACUAAUCUUUUGCUUUGAGCGAUUGGCUAAAAGAAAGUACUUCCUUUGGAAUAAUCUUUCGUGCACUCACAAGUAUAAUAUCUCCAUUUCGUUAUUUUUUGUUCUUCCGUCAGUAGUAUUUCUUUUAGAUACUAUUUGCCCUUGGAUAAAUCACUCAUGCUAUUUUAAUGAGGUUCAUUCUAGCCGUUUGCUCACGAGAACAGAAACAUUUUAUCUGUUGGUUAAAUGA